UUCAUGCCUUACUUUACAAUGUUGUUUUCAUGCCUUUUUAUGCCUUACUUUACUAUGUCUUUUUUAUGCAUUCAUAUACCUAACUGUACUAUGUCUUUUUUAAUACCUUCAUAUGCCUUGCUAUACUGUGACCUUUUUAUGCCUUUUCAUGCCUUACUAUACUAUGACAUUUUUAUGACUUUCCAUACCAUACUAUUCUAUGUCGUUUUUACGCCUUACUAUACUUAGUCGCUUUUAUGACUUUUUAUGCCUUUCUAUACUAUGACGUUUUUAUCACUUUUUAUGUCUUACUAUACUAUGACGUUUUUUUGCCUUACUAUACUAUGACGUUUUUAUGACUUUUUAUGCCUUACUAUAUACUAUGACGUUUUUAUGACUUUUUAUGCCUUACUAUACUAUGACGUUUUUAUGACUUUUUAUGCCUUACUACACUAUGAGGUUUUUAUGACUUUUUAUGCCUUACUAUACUAUGACGUUUUUAUGACUUUUUAUGCCUUGCUAUACUAUGAUGUUUUUAUUCCGUUCUAUACUGUUUCAUUUUUAUGCCUUUUCAUGCCUUACUAUACUAUGUUGUUUUAAUGCUUUUUUAUGCCUUACUAUACUAUUUCGUUUUUAUCACUUUUUAUGCCUUACUAUACUAUGACGUUUUUAUGCUUUUUUAUGUCUUACUAUCCUAUGACGUUUUUAUGACUUUUUAUGUCUUACUAUACUAUGACAUUUUUAUGACUUUUUAUGCCUUACUAUACUAUGACGUUUUUUUGCCUUACUAAACUAUGUCGUUUUUAUGACUUUUUAUGCCUUACUAUACUAUGAUGUUUUUAUUCCGUUCUAUACUGUUCCAUUUUUAUGCCUUUUCAUGCCUUACUAUACUAUGACGUUUUUAUGACUUUUUAUGCCUUACUAUACUAUGACGUUUUUAUGACUUUUUAUGACUCACUUGACUAUGAUGUUUUUAUUUCAUUCUAUACUGUGCUGUUUUUAUGCCUUUUUAUGCCUUACUAUAUUAUGUUGUUUUUAUGCCUUCAUAUGCCUUACUAUAUUAUGUUGUUUUUGUGCCUUUUCAUGCCUUACUAUACUAUGUAUUUUUAUGCCUUUUUAUGCCUUACUGUACUAUGUAGUUUUUAUGCAUUCAUAUACCUAACUGUACAAUGUCUUUUUUAUGCCUUUUUAUGCCCUAAUAAACUAUGAUGAUUUUAAGCCUAACUGUACUUUGUCUUUUUUAUGCAUUCAUAUACCUAACUGUACUAUGUCUUUUUUAAUGCCUUCAUAUGCCUUGCUAUACUGUGACAUUUUUAUGCCUUUUCAUGCCUUACUAAACUAUGACAUUUUUAUGACUUUCCAUACCAUACUAUUCUAUGUGGUUUUUACUUCUUACUAUACUUAGUCGCUUUUAUGCUUUUUUAUGCCUUACUAUGCUUUGACGUUUUUAUGACUUUUUAUGUCUUACUAUACUAUGACGUUUUUAUGACUUUUUAUGCCUUACUAUACUAUGACGUUUUUUUGCCUUACUAAACUAUGUCGUUUUUAUGCCUUUUUAUGCCUUACUAUACUAUGUCGUUUUUAUGCUUUUUUAUGUCUUACUAUACUAUGACGUUUUUAUGACUUUUUAUGCCUUACUAUACUAUGAUGUUUUUGUUCCGUUCUAUACUGUUUCAUUUUUAUGCCUUUUCAUGCCUUACUAUACUAUGUUGUUUUUAUGCUUUUUUAUGCUUUACUAUACUGUGACGUUUUUAUGACUUUUUAUGCCUUACUAUAAAUUGUCGUUUUCAUGACUUUUCAUGCCUUGCUAUACUAUGAUGUUUUUAUUCCGUUCUACACUGUUCCAUUUUUAUGCCUUUUCAUGCCUUACUAUACUAUGACGUUUUUAUGACUUUUUAUGCCUUACUAUACUAUGACGUUUUUAUGACUUUUUAUCCCUUACUAUACUAUGUCGUUUUUAUGACUUUCUAUGACUCACUUGACUAUGAUGUUUUUAUUUCAUUCUAUACUGUGCUGUUUUUAUGCCUUUUUAUGCCUUACUAUAUUAUGUUGUUUUUAUGCCUUCAUAUGCCUUACUAUAUUAUGUUGUUUUUGUGCCUUUUCAUGCCUUACUAUACUAUGUAGUUUUUAUGCCUUUUUAUGCCUUACUGUACUAUGUAGUUUUUAUGCAUUCAUAUACCUAACUGUACAAUGUCUUUUUUAUGCCUUUUUAUGCCCUAAUAAACUAUGAUGAUUUUAA
Molecule: long non-coding RNA, 2218 nt
Organism: Seriola aureovittata
Lineage: Eukaryota; Metazoa; Chordata; Actinopteri; Carangiformes; Carangidae
Exons: 2
Source: RefSeq, a predicted model, not a curated record